AGCGAACGCUAGCGGAUGGCUUAACACAUGCAAGUCGAGCGGGUAGCAAUACCAGCGGCGAACGGGUGCGUAACACGUAGGUAAUCUGCCUUUUGGUGGGGAAUAACACAACGAAAGUCGUGCUAAUACCGCAUAUGGCCCAAGGGUCAAAGCAGCAAUGCGCCAAGAGAUGAGCCUGCGGCCCAUUAUUUAAUCCUAGUUGGCGGGUAACGGCCCACCAAGGGUACGAUGGGUAGCUGGUCUGAGAGGACGAUCAGCCACACUGGGACUGAGACACGGCCCAGACUCCUACGGGAGGCAGCAGUGGGGGAAUAUUGCGCAAUGGGCGAAAGCCUGACGCAGCCAAUCCGCGUGGGUGAUGAAGGCCUUCGGGUUGUAAAGCCUG
Molecule: ribosomal RNA, 385 nt
Filed under: uncultured bacterium
Lineage: Bacteria
Description: bacterial SSU rRNA
Rfam family: Bacterial small subunit ribosomal RNA
Source: RNAcentral